This 202-nucleotide long non-coding RNA is filed under the name Elaeis guineensis (African oil palm). RNAcentral describes it as "long non-coding RNA (EGUI_LNC036958)". The record is from RNAcentral. Lineage: Eukaryota; Viridiplantae; Streptophyta; Magnoliopsida; Arecales; Arecaceae.
GGACCUGAAAAGAUAUCUUGCAUCUCCACCAUUGCUUACAAAGCCAAAGAUCGGAGAAACUUUAUAUCUUUACUUGACGACAUCGAUGGAGACAGUUAGUUCGGUGCUUAUCCAAGAGAAUAAAAAUCGAAUUCAACGAUCAAUCUACCACACUAGCAAGAUGCUUUAUAAUGCUGAAGUUAGAUAUUCAAGAGUAGAGAAA